AUACGAAGGGGGCUAGCGUUGCUCGGAAUCGACUGGGCGUAAAGCGCACGUAAGCGGCUUUUUAAGUCAGGGGUGAAAUCCUGGAGCUCAACUCCAGAACUGCCUCUGAUACUGAGAAGCUUGAGUUCGGGAGAGGUGAGUGGAACUGCGAGUGUAGAGGUGAAAUUCGUAGAUAUUCGCAAGAACACCAGUGGCGAAGGCGGCUCACUGGCCCGAGACUGACGCUGAGGUGCGAAAGCGUGGGGAGC
RNAcentral lists this ribosomal RNA (248 nucleotides) under uncultured bacterium. RNAcentral describes it as "partial 16S ribosomal RNA". It matches the Rfam family "Bacterial small subunit ribosomal RNA", at positions 523 to 769 of the family's 1533-position model. The record is from RNAcentral.